This 505-nucleotide ribosomal RNA is filed under the name Colletotrichum gloeosporioides. RNAcentral describes it as "eukaryotic LSU rRNA". The stretch from base 155 to 308 matches the Rfam family "5.8S ribosomal RNA". The record is from RNAcentral. Lineage: Eukaryota; Fungi; Ascomycota; Sordariomycetes; Glomerellales; Glomerellaceae.
ACCCUUUGUGAACAUACCUAUAACUGUUGCUUCGGCGGGUAGGGUCUCCGCGACCCUCCCGGCCUCCCGCCUCCGGGCGGGUCGGCGCCCGCCGGAGGAUAACCAAACUCUGAUUUAACGACGUUUCUUCUGAGUGGUACAAGCAAAUAAUCAAAACUUUUAACAACGGAUCUCUUGGUUCUGGCAUCGAUGAAGAACGCAGCGAAAUGCGAUAAGUAAUGUGAAUUGCAGAAUUCAGUGAAUCAUCGAAUCUUUGAACGCACAUUGCGCCCGCCAGCAUUCUGGCGGGCAUGCCUGUUCGAGCGUCAUUUCAACCCUCAAGCUCUGCUUGGUGUUGGGGCCCUACAGCUGAUGUAGGCCCUCAAAGGUAGUGGCGGACCCUCCCGGAGCCUCCUUUGCGUAGUAACUUUACGUCUCGCACUGGGAUCCGGAGGGACUCUUGCCGUAAAACCCCCCAAUUUUCCAAAGGUUGACCUCGGAUCAGGUAGGAAUACCCGCUGAACUU